CUACGGGUUGCUGCAGUGAGGAAUAUUGCACAAUGGGGGGAACCCUGAUGCAGCAACGCCGCGUGGAGGAUGACGCAUUUCGGUGUGUAGACUCCUUUUAUAUGUCAAGAAAAUGACGGUAGCAUAUGAAUAAGCACCGGCUAACUCCGUGCCAGCAGCCGCGGUAAUACGGAGGGUGCAAGCGUUACUCGGAAUCACUGGGCGUAAAGGACGCGUAGGCGGGAUAUCAAGUCAGGUGUGAAAUCCUACAGCUUAACUGUAGAACUGCACUUGAAACUGGUAACCUAGAGUAUGGGAGGGGGAGAUGGAAUUAGUGGUGUAGGGGUAAAAUCCGUAGAUAUCACUAGGAAUACCUAAAGCGAAGGCGAUCUCCUGGAACAUAACUGACGCUAAGGCGUGAAAGCGUGGGGAGCAAACAGGAUUAGAUACCCGUGUAGUC
Molecule: ribosomal RNA, 439 nt
Filed under: uncultured bacterium
Lineage: Bacteria
Description: partial 16S ribosomal RNA
Rfam family: Bacterial small subunit ribosomal RNA
Source: RNAcentral